Molecule: transfer RNA, 28 nt
Filed under: Tropheus moorii (blunthead cichlid)
Lineage: Eukaryota; Metazoa; Chordata; Actinopteri; Cichliformes; Cichlidae
Description: partial tRNA-Pro
Source: RNAcentral
CAAACAAUAGUCUAAAUUAGGGUCCUAG